GUGCAAAGUUGGAACAUGUUUGGGAGUUCAACGGCAUUGGUUUCUGGUGCAAGCGGUCUUCUCUGUCUUCUUUAUGGCCAGUAAAAUUCUCCAGAAGAGAUUUAUGGCAGCCUCACUCCCAGUAGUUUCUGCAUUUAGUGAGAUAAGCCACAGCAAUUGUCUGCUAUUUUAAAAGCACUGUGAUGCUUAAAUAUUCCAGCUGCUACAUCGGACAGGUGUCUGAUGAUCCUGAGAACAGUCAUCAAAAAGUAGAACUUGAGCCUGGAAUACAUUCUCUGGCAUAGCCAUAGUCAAUCACCAGUAUAAUUAAUGUAAAUGGACACUGGAUAGCUUUUUUGUGAAUUCUGAUGCAGCACAAAGAGACUUUAAUUGUUUCCAAAAAGAAAAUGUCUGAGAUUAAAAUCUAGAGUUUUAUGACUUAGAGGAAAUUUUAUAGCUUUACUCCAAAAAGGGUAAGGCACAAAAUAUUCUGUGCCAAAGGAUGCAUAUUUGGUAUUUUUCCUAUGAAUCCCUUAGUGUAAGUGGCAUGAUGAAAUUUUCUUGGUUUCAACACAGAUGAUGUGUUGAGGUAGUGUUGAGGCUGAGAGGUGGGUGGGAUGGGUCUUGGAGAAGGAAAAGAUUUGUUUUGCAAGGUUUGUGGAGAGCUGAUGCGGUAGUGAGGCUAAGACGAGGGGUAUUUACUUGCUACUUACAUUGAGUCCACUAACAUCUGCAGCACUUUGCUUGCAUUAUCCACGCAAUUAUCACGGGAAACCUAUAAAAUAAGUAUUCCUCUCCUCAUUUUACAAAUAGGGAAGCAGAUAAGAUUUAGAAAAUUUCCCAAACUCACACAAUUAUUAAAUGACAGAACUAGGACUCAAACCCAGGUUUUAUUAAUUUUAGAGACAUGUUUUUAACCACUUGGACACUGCCAACCAUGGAAUUGUUGGUAUGAAAAAAACGUACUCUUGAGUUAUAUUAUCCAUGGUCUUAAUAUCAGAGAAGUGCAGUUGAGUCGCUAUUAAAGAAUAUGGUAAAAUUAUAAAAUGGAUACUAUACAAAGGUAUAAAAAUAUUAUAAAUACUUAUGUUUGGGGUAAAAGGAUCAAAGUAGCCAUGCUCAGUGGAAGGGUAAGGAACUCUUAGCAGAGAUUGAUUAAUUGGGAGAUAAUUGAUUAAUUGGGAGUUGAUUGAUUAAUUGGGAUUUAUUAAUUUGGGAGUAGGUAGGAAGAUAGGAAGUUGUAUAAAAUAAGGGAGAGAUAACUUAGUACCUGGAAAAAAAGAAAUGGAAAUAGGUAGAAGCUAAGAGUUCAAUUAAAAAAAAGGAAUAAAAGAUAUUGGAAGGGAACGAUGAAUGUAGCAUGGAAGAUCCAAGAUGAUGGGAGUUCAGGGGCUAAUUACAGCUAUGGGGAAAAAGUAAUGUAUAAGCUGGAAGCCAGAGAUAAGAGCCAUGUAAAUGAAGAAGUUGGGCCCCAAUAGGAAAGAAUUAUAAGGACUAGAAGGAGCAGGAGCCAUGUGGAAAAAUAUCAUGUAGUACUUUUAAGCUUGAUCUGUCAUCUGUAGCAAAACCAGCAUGCUUGAGUACUGAAUUGACCUGACUGAACUAUGUUGAAAUGUACUGUGGUUUUAUAUCCAUAUGCACUUGGUCUGUGGAGUUGUGGGAAAAGCAUCAGUGAGUAGGAAGCCCAAGGAUUUGGGUCAAGUAUUAAAUAUGCUAUUUACUGUCUAGCUAUGUGACCUUAUAUAAGUCACUUGUGGUCUCUGAGCCUUCAUGUAUUCAUCCAUAAGAUGAGUUGUUGUUUAUAUUAAAUGGGAUGUGGUAUGUUAAAGAGCUGAAUGCAUAGUGAUACAGAAUUACUUUCUGUAAUACUAUUUUUUAAAUAUUUUAAAUGAAAAAUUAAUGAACUUAUAAAUUAAAAGAUUCAAAAGGGAUAAAAAGGUAUACAAUGAAAAGCAAUUCUCCUUCCCACCAGUAACUCUGUCCUACUCCUUAGGACAUUCACCAUAAACAGAUAUCCUGAAUUCUUCUAGAAAUAUUAUAUAUAAAAUCUUAUAUUUCUUAUGUUUCUUUUUUACUAUUUUAAAGGGGAUAAACUAAACUUUGCUUUUUUUCAUAUAAUAAUAUAUUCUGGAGAUCAUUUUCUAAAAGCACAUGUAAACAUACCUCAUUAUUAUAAAGGUUUGAAAAUAUCAAUUUAUUUGACCUGUCCCCUCUCGAUAGAUAAUUAGAUUGUAUCCAUCCCUUUGGUUAUUACCAACAGACACUAAUCACUUAUCAUGUACAUAUAGCCUGUUUUUUAGCAUUGUUAGACAAAGUAGGCAUAUUCCUUUCCAUCCAAGAACUCAUAACCUAGUAAUUGUAGUUGGCUGAUAGCUCAUUGCCCAUACACAAGGAUCUAACACAACCUCUUGAAUAAACAUCCCCCUUAUUCAGAAAUGCCUUUUCCUAUUUCCAUAUUGCAACUUUGCUUACAAAUUUCCAAUCUGUCUUUCUGUUUACAGAAGAUAUACAAAAUUCCUUUUGUAUGAUCUCUUUAUAUCUCUUGAUUUUCUUUUGUGUUUGCUACCAAAGGGCCUGCACAUAGUGAGAAGAUUGUGCAUGAUCUGUGAGCUCUACCACACCUGGAAUUAGGGAUCACCAAUAUGAGAAAAAAAAUUGGAGGUACAAAUAACAUUAUCAUAUGUAAUUGGCAUAUAAAUUACAGAUGUAUCUAUGACUAAAAACCCUGUGGAUAUAAACCAAAUGCAGAUAAAUAUAAUAAAAUAUAUAAAAAUAUAAUCAAAUAAUGAUAGUGCUAUUCAAAUACUUCAAAUUUGCACAGUGAUUUAUUUCUUAAAAUAUGUUAACACAUGUGAGCCAAUACACUGAGGUCACUGGAU
Long non-coding RNA from Homo sapiens (human), 2858 nucleotides. Ensembl annotates it as SLC12A2 divergent transcript. Its record names the gene SLC12A2-DT. Lineage: Eukaryota; Metazoa; Chordata; Mammalia; Primates; Hominidae. The record is from Ensembl.